CCAGAGGGUUUGAACACAUGCCGUUGUUGUUGCUGCUGUCGAGGAACUCGAUGAUGUCGUUGAGAGAUUGGAGCCUGUGGUUAAGCUCAUCGAGCUGAGCUCUGAGAACAGAGUUCUCUGCUUCAACGGUCAGGUAGUGCUGCGUUGUGAUGCUGACACUUGUCACGAUGUCGCUGUUCUCUUUUUUCAGAUGGUUAACCUGAGCCGUCAGAUCGUCGAGGAGCUUCUGUUUCUUCAUCCUAGAUCUCCUAGCAGAUUCACGGUUUGAGAGCAUCCGCUUACGUUUCCUCUGCUCCAUGAGACUCUCCUCUGACCCUGAUGACGAUUGAAUCGUCGACGAAGUUGUUCCUGACGACGACGAUUCCAUCAAGUAACACACACACAGAAAACAAAACAAAACAAAGAAGCCUUAUAUCUUGCGAGAAGAGAGAUCAGAUAUUAAAAAUGGGUUUUUUUUUAGGGAAACCAAAAACAGAACAGAACAGAGCAGGACAGGACAGGACCCAGAGGACGAAAAACGAAGAAGAAAGAUUAGAUGGAAACAAGGGUUUUUGUGUGUUUAAGUUAUGCGUAUAGAUUCUAAAAUAUUAAUUAUGAGUUUUCAGGGAAUCAUGAGACGUAGUAAAGCCAGUAAAGGAAGACAACAGAGAAAGAUUGAACAAGAUGGGUCCUGCGCCUGAUUGUGGAAUUUAACAUAAACCCAGAGAGAAAGAUCUCACUGAGUAUAAUCGGAGACAUGUGUCUCAAACACCAACAACUGCUGAUUAAGCAUCAAUGGUUUUUUUCCUUCUUUUUUUUUUUCUAAUUAUUUCUAGCAGAAGAUGAGAUCUUUAACGAUGAAUCUUUGAAGAAAACAGAAGAAGAAGAAAGGAAGAAAGUAGAAGACGAUAUCUUCGAGAGAGAGAGAGGAGGAGAAGGAGGAGAGAAGAGGGGGCUUUGAAAUGGUUAAGGAGUA
Molecule: long non-coding RNA, 955 nt
Filed under: Capsella rubella
Lineage: Eukaryota; Viridiplantae; Streptophyta; Magnoliopsida; Brassicales; Brassicaceae
Description: long non-coding RNA (CRUB_LNC001280)
Source: RNAcentral